UGCAAGUCGAGCGGACCUUUUAAAGCUUGCUUUUGAAAGGUCAGCGGCGGACGGGUGAGUAACACGUGGGCAACCUGCCUGUAAGACUGGGAUAACUUCGGGAAACCGGAGCUAAUACCGGAUAAUAUAAGGAACCUCCUGGUUCUUUAUUGAAAGAUGGUUUCGGCUAUCACUUACAGAUGGGCCCGCGGCGCAUUAGCUAGUUGGUGAGGUAACGGCUCACCAAGGCGACGAUGCGUAGCCGACCUGAGAGGGUGAUCGGCCACACUGGGACUGAGACACGGCCCAGACUCCUACGGGAGGCAGCAGUAGGGAAUCUUCCACAAUGGACGAAAGUCUGAUGGAGCAACGCCGCGUGAGCGAUGAAGGCCUUCGGGUCGUAAAGCUCUGUUGUUAGGGAAGAACAAGUGCGAGAGUAACUGCUCGCACCUUGACGGUACCUAACCAGAAAGCCACGGCUAACUACGUGCCAGCAGCCGCGGUAAUACGUAGGUGGCAAGCGUUGUCCGGAAUUAUUGGGCGUAAAGCGCGCGCAGGUGGUCCUUUAAGUCUGAUGUGAAAGCCCACGGCUCAACCGUGGAGGGUCAUUGGAAACUGGGGGACUUGAGUGCAGAAGAGGAAAGUGGAAUUCCAAGUGUAGCGGUGAAAUGCGUAGAGAUUUGGAGGAACACCAGUGGCGAAGGCGACUUUCUGGUCUGUAACUGACACUGAGGCGCGAAAGCGUGGGAGCAAACAGGAUUAGAUACCCUGGUAGU
RNAcentral lists this ribosomal RNA (755 nucleotides) under Bacillus sp. (in: firmicutes). RNAcentral describes it as "bacterial SSU rRNA". It matches the Rfam family "Bacterial small subunit ribosomal RNA", at positions 56 to 794 of the family's 1533-position model. Lineage: Bacteria; Bacillati; Bacillota; Bacilli; Caryophanales; Bacillaceae. The record is from RNAcentral.